AGUCCAUGAUGAAGGCACUCUUGGAGCAAAUCCUUGAAUCUUUCCAUGAAUUUGGAAAAUGAUUCAUUUGGCUUUUGCUAAAUUGAAGAAUGUCAUUCCUAAGUUU
This is a small nucleolar RNA of Telopea speciosissima, 106 nucleotides long. NCBI's taxonomy places the organism in Eukaryota, Viridiplantae, Streptophyta, Magnoliopsida, Proteales, Proteaceae. The record is from RefSeq and is a predicted model, not a curated record.